This 508-nucleotide ribosomal RNA is filed under the name uncultured bacterium. Its description in RNAcentral is "bacterial SSU rRNA". It matches the Rfam family "Bacterial small subunit ribosomal RNA", at positions 53 to 507 of the family's 1533-position model. The record is from RNAcentral.
ACAUGCAAGUCGUACGGGAUGGCCCAUUGAUAAUAUCUGAAAGUCUAAGUGCUUGCACAAAGGCUGGAUGAUAUUUGAUUUGGAUCUUCCAUCCAGUGGCAAACGGGUGAGUAACACGUGGGUUACCUACCUCUAAGUUGGGGAUAACAGUUGGAAACGAUUGCUAAUACCGAAUGUGCUCUACGGAGUAAAGAUGCCUUUAAAGCAUCGCUUAGAGAUGGGCCUGCGGCGUAUUAGCUAGUUGGUGGGGUAACGGCCUACCAAGGCGACGAUGCGUAGCCGAACUGAGAGGUUAAUCGGCCACACUGGGACUGAGACACGGCCCAGACUCCUACGGGAGACAGCAGUUAGGAAUAUUCGUCAAUGGGGGAAACCCUGAACGAGCAAUGCCGCGUGAGUGAUGAAGGCCCUAUGGGUUGUAAAACUCUGUUGUUUGGAAAGAAUUGUAAGAGUAGGAAAUGACUCUUGCUUGACGGUACCAUUCAAGAAAGCCACGGCUAACUACGUG